This 80-nucleotide ribosomal RNA is filed under the name Vibrio gigantis. RNAcentral describes it as "partial 16S ribosomal RNA". It matches the Rfam family "Bacterial small subunit ribosomal RNA", at positions 1 to 78 of the family's 1533-position model. The record is from RNAcentral. Lineage: Bacteria; Pseudomonadati; Pseudomonadota; Gammaproteobacteria; Vibrionales; Vibrionaceae.
UUAAAUUGAAGAGUUUGAUCAUGGCUCAGAUUGAACGCUGGCGGCAGGCCUAACACAUGCAAGUCGAGCGGAAACGACAC